Molecule: ribosomal RNA, 619 nt
Filed under: Enterobacter asburiae
Lineage: Bacteria; Pseudomonadati; Pseudomonadota; Gammaproteobacteria; Enterobacterales; Enterobacteriaceae
Description: bacterial SSU rRNA
Rfam family: Bacterial small subunit ribosomal RNA
Source: RNAcentral
GGGUGAGUAAUGUCUGGGAAACUGCCUGAUGGAGGGGGAUAACUACUGGAAACGGUAGCUAAUACCGCAUAACGUCGCAAGACCAAAGAGGGGGACCUUCGGGCCUCUUGCCAUCAGAUGUGCCCAGAUGGGAUUAGCUAGUAGGUGGGGUAACGGCUCACCUAGGCGACGAUCCCUAGCUGGUCUGAGAGGAUGACCAGCCACACUGGAACUGAGACACGGUCCAGACUCCUACGGGAGGCAGCAGUGGGGAAUAUUGCACAAUGGGCGCAAGCCUGAUGCAGCCAUGCCGCGUGUAUGAAGAAGGCCUUCGGGUUGUAAAGUACUUUCAGCGGGGAGGAAGGUGUUGAGGUUAAUAACCUCAGCAAUUGACGUUACCCGCAGAAGAAGCACCGGCUAACUCCGUGCCAGCAGCCGCGGUAAUACGGAGGGUGCAAGCGUUAAUCGGAAUUACUGGGCGUAAAGCGCACGCAGGCGGUCUGUCAAGUCAGAUGUGAAAUCCCCGGGCUCAACCUGGGAACUGCAUUCGAAACUGGCAGGCUAGAGUCUUGUAGAGGGGGGUAGAAUUCCAGGUGUAGCGGUGAAAUGCGUAGAGAUCUGGAGGAAUACCGGUGGCGAG